GCAAUCGCCACGGCUCAACCAAAGGAAGCAAAAAGAAAUUUAGAAGGGCUUCGUACCACCGUACCCUAUUAGCCCAGUUUGCACACAUCAUCAGUGCAGUGUCUAAUGCUAGAUAUUAUAGGUAGAUAAAAAGACACAGCUUUCUGCAAUAAAUAAAUUGUCGACCAAUAUGCUAUUUUGUUUAUUAUUGCUUGUACUCUUUGUUGUGUGGCAAUAUAAUAGCAUAGCAUCUACUAUCAAGGGUUACCACCUCUAAAAUGGAGACAUUCUAAUCAGGAUCAUCGUGGUAGUCGAUCCAUCUGAGCACGUUGUAUCAUCGCAUUGCUCGAUUGCUAUAUUUUAAUAAUAUAGUGGCAUAAAAAGUAGAUUAAAACUUGUUUGAUUUUAGCUCUUGCUUAGGUUAAGAUAUCC
Molecule: non-coding RNA, 411 nt
Organism: Drosophila melanogaster (fruit fly)
Lineage: Eukaryota; Metazoa; Arthropoda; Insecta; Diptera; Drosophilidae
Source: Ensembl